Molecule: ribosomal RNA, 2921 nt
Filed under: Staphylococcus aureus
Lineage: Bacteria; Bacillati; Bacillota; Bacilli; Caryophanales; Staphylococcaceae
Description: bacterial LSU rRNA
Rfam family: Bacterial large subunit ribosomal RNA
Source: RNAcentral
UUAAGUUAUUAAGGGCGCACGGUGGAUGCCUUGGCACUAGAAGCCGAUGAAGGACGUUACUAACGACGAUAUGCUUUGGGGAGCUGUAAGUAAGCUUUGAUCCAGAGAUUUCCGAAUGGGGAAACCCAGCAUGAGUUAUGUCAUGUUAUCGAUAUGUGAAUACAUAGCAUAUCAGAAGGCACACCCGGAGAACUGAAACAUCUUAGUACCCGGAGGAAGAGAAAGAAAAUUCGAUUCCCUUAGUAGCGGCGAGCGAAACGGGAAGAGCCCAAACCAACAAGCUUGCUUGUUGGGGUUGUAGGACACUCUAUACGGAGUUACAAAGGACGACAUUAGACGAAUCAUCUGGAAAGAUGAAUCAAAGAAGGUAAUAAUCCUGUAGUCGAAAAUGUUGUCUCUCUUGAGUGGAUCCUGAGUACGACGGAGCACGUGAAAUUCCGUCGGAAUCUGGGAGGACCAUCUCCUAAGGCUAAAUACUCUCUAGUGACCGAUAGUGAACCAGUACCGUGAGGGAAAGGUGAAAAGCACCCCGGAAGGGGAGUGAAAUAGAACCUGAAACCGUGUGCUUACAAGUAGUCAGAGCCCGUUAAUGGGUGAUGGCGUGCCUUUUGUAGAAUGAACCGGCGAGUUACGAUUUGAUGCAAGGUUAAGCAGUAAAUGUGGAGCCGUAGCGAAAGCGAGUCUGAAUAGGGCGUUUAGUAUUUGGUCGUAGACCCGAAACCAGGUGAUCUACCCUUGGUCAGGUUGAAGUUCAGGUAACACUGAAUGGAGGACCGAACCGACUUACGUUGAAAAGUGAGCGGAUGAACUGAGGGUAGCGGAGAAAUUCCAAUCGAACCUGGAGAUAGCUGGUUCUCUCCGAAAUAGCUUUAGGGCUAGCCUCAAGUGAUGAUUAUUGGAGGUAGAGCACUGUUUGGACGAGGGGCCCCUCUCGGGUUACCGAAUUCAGACAAACUCCGAAUGCCAAUUAAUUUAACUUGGGAGUCAGAACAUGGGUGAUAAGGUCCGUGUUCGAAAGGGAAACAGCCCAGACCACCAGCUAAGGUCCCAAAAUAUAUGUUAAGUGGAAAAGGAUGUGGCGUUGCCCAGACAACUAGGAUGUUGGCUUAGAAGCAGCCAUCAUUUAAAGAGUGCGUAAUAGCUCACUAGUCGAGUGACACUGCGCCGAAAAUGUACCGGGGCUAAACAUAUUACCGAAGCUGUGGAUUGUCCUUUGGACAAUGGUAGGAGAGCGUUCUAAGGGCGUUGAAGCAUGAUCGUAAGGACAUGUGGAGCGCUUAGAAGUGAGAAUGCCGGUGUGAGUAGCGAAAGACGGGUGAGAAUCCCGUCCACCGAUUGACUAAGGUUUCCAGAGGAAGGCUCGUCCGCUCUGGGUUAGUCGGGUCCUAAGCUGAGGCCGACAGGCGUAGGCGAUGGAUAACAGGUUGAUAUUCCUGUACCACCUAUAAUCGUUUUAAUCGAUGGGGGGACGCAGUAGGAUAGGCGAAGCGUGCGAUUGGAUUGCACGUCUAAGCAGUAAGGCUGAGUAUUAGGCAAAUCCGGUACUCGUUAAGGCUGAGCUGUGAUGGGGAGAAGACAUUGNGUCUUCGAGUCGUUGAUUUCACACUGCCGAGAAAAGCCUCUAGAUAGAAAAUAGGUGCCCGUACCGCAAACCGACACAGGUAGUCAAGAUGAGAAUUCUAAGGUGAGCGAGCGAACUCUCGUUAAGGAACUCGGCAAAAUGACCCCGUAACUUCGGGAGAAGGGGUGCUCUUUAGGGUUAACGCCCAGAAGAGCCGCAGUGAAUAGGCCCAAGCGACUGUUUAUCAAAAACACAGGUCUCUGCUAAACCGUAAGGUGAUGUAUAGGGGCUGACGCCUGCCCGGUGCUGGAAGGUUAAGAGGAGUGGUUAGCUUCUGCGAAGCUACGAAUCGAAGCCCCAGUAAACGGCGGCCGUAACUAUAACGGUCCUAAGGUAGCGAAAUUCCUUGUCGGGUAAGUUCCGACCCGCACGAAAGGCGUAACGAUUUGGGCACUGUCUCAACGAGAGACUCGGUGAAAUCAUAGUACCUGUGAAGAUGCAGGUUACCCGCGACAGGACGGAAAGACCCCGUGGAGCUUUACUGUAGCCUGAUAUUGAAAUUCGGCACAGCUUGUACAGGAUAGGUAGGAGCCUUUGAAACGUGAGCGCUAGCUUACGUGGAGGCGCUGGUGGGAUACUACCCUAGCUGUGUUGGCUUUCUAACCCGCACCACUUAUCGUGGUGGGAGACAGUGUCAGGCGGGCAGUUUGACUGGGGCGGUCGCCUCCUAAAAGGUAACGGAGGCGCUCAAAGGUUCCCUCAGAAUGGUUGGAAAUCAUUCAUAGAGUGUAAAGGCAUAAGGGAGCUUGACUGCGAGACCUACAAGUCGAGCAGGGUCGAAAGACGGACUUAGUGAUCCGGUGGUUCCGCAUGGAAGGGCCAUCGCUCAACGGAUAAAAGCUACCCCGGGGAUAACAGGCUUAUCUCCCCCAAGAGUUCACAUCGACGGGGAGGUUUGGCACCUCGAUGUCGGCUCAUCGCAUCCUGGGGCUGUAGUCGGUCCCAAGGGUUGGGCUGUUCGCCCAUUAAAGCGGUACGCGAGCUGGGUUCAGAACGUCGUGAGACAGUUCGGUCCCUAUCCGUCGUGGGCGUAGGAAAUUUGAGAGGAGCUGUCCUUAGUACGAGAGGACCGGGAUGGACAUACCUCUGGUGUACCAGUUGUCGUGCCAACGGCAUAGCUGGGUAGCUAUGUGUGGACGGGAUAAGUGCUGAAAGCAUCUAAGCAUGAAGCCCCCCUCAAGAUGAGAUUUCCCAACUUCGGUUAUAAGAUCCCUCAAAGAUGAUGAGGUUAAUAGGUUCGAGGUGGAAGCAUGGUGACAUGUGGAGCUGACGAAUACUAAUCGAUCGAAGACUUAAUCAA